RNAcentral lists this ribosomal RNA (116 nucleotides) under Canis lupus familiaris (dog). The record is from RNAcentral. Lineage: Eukaryota; Metazoa; Chordata; Mammalia; Carnivora; Canidae. RNAcentral also lists the same sequence under 1 other name.
GUCUACGGCCAUACCACCCUGAACGCGCCCGAUCUCGUCUAAUCUCGGAAGCUAAGCAGGGUCGGGCUGGUUAGUACUUGGAUGGGAGACCGAAUGGAAGACAUUAUCUCAAGUCU